UAGAUACUCCCUCCGUCCCAAAAUUCUUGUCUUAGAUUUAUCUAAAUAUGAAUGUAUCUAGUCAUGUUUUAAUAUUUAGAUACAUUCAUUUCUAAACAAAUCUAAGACAAGAAUUUUGGGACGGAAGGAGUAUAAA
Molecule: microRNA precursor, 136 nt
Filed under: Hordeum vulgare
Lineage: Eukaryota; Viridiplantae; Streptophyta; Magnoliopsida; Poales; Poaceae
Description: microRNA MIR1122
Rfam family: MIR1120/MIR1122 microRNA precursor family
Source: RNAcentral